Quercus lobata is the source of this 386-nucleotide long non-coding RNA. RefSeq lists it as uncharacterized. The transcript is spliced from 3 exons. The record is from RefSeq and is a predicted model, not a curated record. Lineage: Eukaryota; Viridiplantae; Streptophyta; Magnoliopsida; Fagales; Fagaceae.
UCAUGGUGUGGGCACCCCUGGGGUGUUAGAGCUAUCCAUGUCGUGACAUAACAUUUUUGCAAAGUACACAACUCGAACAAGAUGACAAAAAAGGAUUUUUGGACAAAAUAUUUCAGAGCAGAAUAUCUCCAUAGUACAUAAAAUGCUGUUACAGCAGCAGAGGCUGCUGAAAACAUAUUGUCAAGUGCAGCUCAGCAGAUGGUACUCUUUCUGAGAGUUGAGAUUCAACGGGUUGAUCUAACUCUUGACAUGGAAACUGACCAAGGGGAUGAUUACAUGCAUCUCCCAGUAUGUGGGAUUAGACCACUCUUGUAGAGUUUCUUUUGGUAGAUUCAUUAAAUUAUUCUCUCUGUCUCUCCCUCUCUUCUUCGAGUCCGUUUGGAUAC